This 214-nucleotide long non-coding RNA is filed under the name Nicotiana benthamiana. RNAcentral's name for it is "long non-coding RNA (NBEN_LNC005147)". The record is from RNAcentral. Lineage: Eukaryota; Viridiplantae; Streptophyta; Magnoliopsida; Solanales; Solanaceae.
UAAAAGGCAAAAAUGAACCACUUUCAGCUGCCAUAGUAGCUUGCCUACAAAGGCACUGCUAAAAGAAAGCUAAGGGGACCUUUUUUUUAGAGAUUUCGAGUAAAAUAAAAAAUACAAAAAAAUAUAAAAGAAAGAGUUUUACUAUUCCAUUAAACUUUGGGUUUGAAUCUGAAGGUUUUCAUUUUGCUGAAAGAAUUUUUUUUCUUCAUCUAGG